Nyctereutes procyonoides (raccoon dog) is the source of this 1339-nucleotide long non-coding RNA. RefSeq lists it as uncharacterized. The record is from RefSeq and is a predicted model, not a curated record. NCBI's taxonomy places the organism in Eukaryota, Metazoa, Chordata, Mammalia, Carnivora, Canidae. The transcript has 4 exons.
GUGGGGCCGCGGUAAACAAACGGAGAAGCUUCGGCGGGGGCAGAGCUGUAGUAUAAAACGUUAAUGGGUGUCCAGGGCGCGCCGUUUCCCCGGCUGCCGGCCAGAGGUGCUAGGGAAGCGCUGACAGGAGCCCGGGAGAGGAGGAUGCACCGUCCCCCGCCUUGGAAAGGGAGAUUAUUUUGAAUUGUCUAAGUGGACGAAUGUCACAAGGAUCCUGCAAAGUAGAAGAGGAGGGCAGAAGGCAUCAGAGUGAGAGGAGAAGAGGACUCAGCCUGCCCUGGUUGGCUUUGAAGAUGGAGGAAGGAACAAUGGGCCAAGGAAUGCACAGCUUCUAGAAGCUGGAAGAGGCAAGGAAAAGGCUUCUCCCUUAGAGGCUUCAGAAGGGAAUGCAGCCCUGCUAACACCUGGACUGCUGCCCCAUGAGACCCAUCUCAGACUUCUAGCCAAUACUGCAAGCCCCAGAUUUUGUUGAGGAAUGGAAAAGAUAGAUGAAGAGCAUCACAACUGCCUGGGAAACAAGAGGGGGAACUUUCCAAGGACCAGAAAUUGUGACAAAAAUGCCUGCAUGACAUAGGACCAGAUCCUGUUGGUGCUGUUUCUCUGGAGAAUUCUACUACAAGGCAGAAGAACACAGUCUUCGAGCAAAGGAAAGACUGAACGGAAUGAAAAGAUCUGCUCUUAAAUGAAGCUGAGGCUGUGUUGAAGAACUAUACUGGACAAUACUGUGUGUCAGAUGGAAAGGUCUGAGUGAUUGCAGGGGGGUUGAGUAUGUUCUGGUGUUUUUACCCUCCUUGUUAUGCCAGCAGCCAACUUCCCAGAUUUCUUUUCAUCAGUUUUUUCCAUCAAAUCUGCUUCAUCAUAGAAUACAGAACUGGACCCGUGUGGUUUUUCAUAAGUAGCCUCCAGAUUUGCUUCUCCCCAUGACUCUUCACAAAGGCUGGCAUCUUGUAAGGAUAACUCCACACCAUCUUAAUUUCUUAAUAUGACUAAUCUCUUCAACAAUUUUACAUUUUCCUCCAAUUAGUUUGUCAAGUUGUAUAGUGAGUUUCCCUCCUUCCUCUACAAUGCUUUCUGUUUUGUUUUUUGGUAUUUGUUUGUAAUUGUAAAAUACACUUUACCAUUUUAAUCAUUUUAAAGUGUGCCAUUCAGUGGCAUUAAGUACCUUUGUAGUGUUGUGCAGCCAUCACCACCAUCCAUUUCCAGAACUUUUGCAUCAUCCCAAACAGAAGUUCUGCAUCUGCGAAGCAAAAACUCCCUAUUUCCCUCUCCUCCCAACCCCUGGUAACCACUAUUCUACUUUCUCUCUCAAUAAAUUUGCCUAGUCUACAUACUUUAUACA